AAGAGAGAGUUAAAGAGGACGUGAAACCGGUGAGGUAGAAACGGAUAGAGCUAGCGUAUCAAGCCGGCAUUCACUUGCGAGGCCGUCGCGCGCUCUGGCUUCGCUCUCCAGAUUGGGACGGAGUUGGAGUUGUACACGGUCGGGCAGUGCAUUUGUUGGCGAGUGCGCUGAGCAGUUCGAGGCGGCAUCGCGAACUUGCAUUUGCGGCCAGCUUGUCUGGAACCCGGUGCAGGCCAGCGAUGUUCGCUUUGAGCAAAACAAAAAGGCAUGGCCCACGGGCUCAUUGUGGGUGUCGGGCCGGUGGUCGGAAGCGGUCGCUUGCGACACGUGCUUGCUUGCUGACUCGGCCCUGCUGGGGUCCUCAUGCUGACGCUCAGUGUAAGAGCUGGUCAUCUAUCCGACCCGUCUUGAAACACGGACCAAGGAGUUUAUCGUGUGCGCAAGCCAUUGGGCGUUGAAAACCCAAAGGCGCAAUGAAAGUGAAUGUGCCCGCAAGGGACUGACAUGCUAUCCCCUGGGCUACGGCCCGGAGGCGCAGCAUGGCCCCAUCCUGAUUGCUUGCAAUGGGGUGGAGGAAGAGCGUGCGCGAUGAGACCCGAAAGAUGGUGAACUAUUCCUGAGCAGGAUGAAGCCAGUGGAAACUCUGGUGGAAGUCCGAAGCGAUUCUGACGUGCAAAUCGAUCG
RNAcentral lists this ribosomal RNA (684 nucleotides) under Pratylenchus sp. CD3108. RNAcentral's name for it is "partial large subunit ribosomal RNA". It matches the Rfam family "Eukaryotic large subunit ribosomal RNA", at positions 379 to 904 of the family's 3401-position model. The record is from RNAcentral. Lineage: Eukaryota; Metazoa; Nematoda; Chromadorea; Rhabditida; Pratylenchidae.